Molecule: long non-coding RNA, 316 nt
Organism: Polistes dominula (European paper wasp)
Lineage: Eukaryota; Metazoa; Arthropoda; Insecta; Hymenoptera; Vespidae
Source: RefSeq, a predicted model, not a curated record
AAGUGCGUCGUCCACGUUUACAUUGCUAGUUCUUCUCGAUUCACGUGUACGUAAAUAUGUGCGGCAAGAACCAACCAACCAACCAUCGGUUUAUUUGACACUGGUAUUUAUUUUAAAGAAGAAGAAGAAAAAGAAAUCGUGGCUAUAAGUUAUGUCUAAUCUUUCAAGCUAUUAUUACGCAGUUAUUACGCGAGAGAGGAUAAUUACUCGAGAUCGAUGGGCGAUAAGUCAAAGAAGGCCGUGGUUUGAUUUAUCCGUAAACAGAAAAAUGCGUUGAGAGAACAAGUGAUAGAAAAUGUACGUUGUUAGUUGGAUU